RNAcentral lists this ribosomal RNA (274 nucleotides) under uncultured bacterium. RNAcentral's name for it is "partial 16S ribosomal RNA". It matches the Rfam family "Bacterial small subunit ribosomal RNA", at positions 523 to 796 of the family's 1533-position model. The record is from RNAcentral.
AUACGGAGGGUGCGAGCGUUAAUCGGAAUUACUGGGCGUAAAGGGUGCGUAGGCGGCUUGAUAAGUCGGAUGUGAAAGCCCCGGGCUUAACCUGGGAAUUGCAUUCGAUACUGUCAGGCUAGAGUAUGUCAGAGGUUGGCGGAAUUCCUAGUGUAGCGGUGAAAUGCGUAGAUAUCAGGAGGAACACCAGUGGCGAAGGCGGCUAACUGGGGCAAUACUGACGCUGAGGCACGAAAGCGUGGGGAGCGAACAGGAUUAGAAACCCUAGUAGUCC